CAGGCCUUCACUGUGGAAUGUGACCAAAUGGGCUUGGCCGGUCCAGAAGGAGGGUGGGGCGAUGAGAACCCCUGGAGGGUUCCAGAACAGAGACUGAGAGUAUUCACAGGUCAACCUAGCCUGAACAUUGGCUAGGAAAGGAUUGGGAGAAAGAGAAACAGGGGCCUGGGGAGAUGUCAGGGCGUAGGGGACAACACCACAGGGAGUCAGUCAAGAGUGGCCAGCUGGGUUGUGCCAUGCAGAGGACCCCAGAAACUGAGAGGGGACGGGCAGUGGCCUGGCUGGACACCUGGAACUCAGCACCCAAUGGGACAGCACACGGCCCAACCCAGCCAGUAAAGACCCUGCACCCCUUGGCCACUCUGAUUGGAUCAGGCAGGGCCACUGCGAAGAGUGCGACUCAGAGACAGACAGAACAAUGGCAGGAGAAGGACAAGGACAGGUGACCAGAGAGUAGUCUUUAUUAUGUCUCCUAGCUCUCCAAGCAGGGCCUGUGGAUGGAGCUCUGGCGGGGACUCUGGAGGGAUUUUGAUGACUAUCUGCCCCAGGAUGCUCAGGAUGGGGCAGGGUCCUCCUGGCACCAGAAACCCAGGAAAGGGCUGUUCCUGGCUGUUCCAAAACCAGGAAAGACUUCACUCACUCAUGCCGUGCCGCCAGCCACGGCCACCCCUCCUGACACAUCACAGCCCAGAGCCGCGGGCUGCUGGGUCAUGGAAUGGCCAGCGCUGAGGCCUUAGUUCUGGGGACACCAGCACAGGAGGCAGGGACAGCCAUAUCACUGACCCCCACCUGAUGCCUGGGGCAGGGUGACAGCCACAGGACCUGAGAGAAGCGAGGGAGGGAUCCUACUGCCCCCUUCCAGGGGCAGGCAAGAGGUGGG
This 880-nucleotide long non-coding RNA is filed under the name Equus caballus (horse). RNAcentral's name for it is "lncRNA (ENSECAG00000055583.1)". The record is from RNAcentral. Lineage: Eukaryota; Metazoa; Chordata; Mammalia; Perissodactyla; Equidae.